RNAcentral lists this unclassified non-coding RNA (305 nucleotides) under plant metagenome. RNAcentral's name for it is "partial contains 5.8S ribosomal RNA, internal transcribed spacer 2, and large subunit ribosomal RNA". The stretch from base 1 to 104 matches the Rfam family "5.8S ribosomal RNA", at positions 50 to 154 of the family's 154-position model. The record is from RNAcentral.
GAAAUGCGAUAAGUAGUGUGAAUUGCAGAAUUCAGUGAAUCAUCGAAUCUUUGAACGCACAUUGCGCCCCUGGUAUUCCAUGGGGCAUGCCUGUUCGAGCGUCAUCUACACCCUCAAGCUCUGCUUGGUGUUGGGCGUCUUUGUCCCGCCUCCGCGCGCGGACUCGCCCCAAAUUCAUUGGCAGCGGUCCUUGCCUCCUCUCGCGCAGCACAUUGCUCUUCUCGAGGUGUUGCGGCCCGCGUCCAGAAAGCAAUCGUUACCGUCUUUGACCUCGGAUCAGGUAGGGAUACCCGCUGAACUUAAGC